GUGGUUGUAGCUCAGUCGGUUAGAGCGCCUGUCUGUGGAACAGGAGGUCGGGGGUUCAAGUCCCCUCAGCCACC
RNAcentral lists this transfer RNA (74 nucleotides) under Chloroflexia bacterium. RNAcentral's name for it is "tRNA-His". It matches the Rfam family "tRNA". From Rfam's summary of the family: Transfer RNA (tRNA) molecules are approximately 80 nucleotides in length. Their secondary structure includes four short double-helical elements and three loops (D, anti-codon, and T loops). Further hydrogen bonds mediate the characteristic L-shaped molecular structure. tRNAs have two regions of fundamental functional importance: the anti-codon, which is responsible for specific mRNA codon recognition, and the 3' end, to which the tRNAs corresponding amino acid is attached (by aminoacyl-tRNA synthetases). tRNAs cope with the degeneracy of the genetic code in two manners: having more than one tRNA (with a specific anti-codon) for a particular amino acid; and 'wobble' base-pairing, i.e. permitting non-standard base-pairing at the 3rd anti-codon position. The record is from RNAcentral. Lineage: Bacteria; Bacillati; Chloroflexota; Chloroflexia.